RNAcentral lists this ribosomal RNA (627 nucleotides) under Lactiplantibacillus sp. RNAcentral's name for it is "bacterial SSU rRNA". Lineage: Bacteria; Bacillati; Bacillota; Bacilli; Lactobacillales; Lactobacillaceae. The record is from RNAcentral.
GUGGCGAACUGGUGAGURACACGUGGGAAACCUGCCCAGAAGCGGGGGAUAACACCUGGAAACAGAUGCUAAUACCGCAUAACAACUUGGACCGCAUGGUCCGAGUUUGAAAGAUGGCUUCGGCUAUCACUUUUGGAUGGUCCCGCGGCGUAUUAGCUAGAUGGUGRGGUAACGGCUCACCAUGGCAAUGAUACGUAGCCGACCUGAGAGGGUAAUCGGCCACAUUGGGACUGAGACACGGCCCAAACUCCUACGGGAGGCAGCAGUAGGGAAUCUUCCACAAUGGACGAAAGUCUGAUGGAGCAACGCCGCGUGAGUGAAGAAGGGUUUCGGCUCGUAAAACUCUGUUGUUAAAGAAGAACAUAUCUGAGAGUAACUGUUCAGGUAUUGACGGUAUUUAACCAGAAAGCCACGGCUAACUACGUGCCAGCAGCCGCGGUAAUACGUAGGUGGCAAGCGUUGUCCGGAUUUAUUGGGCGUAAAGCGAGCGCAGGCGGUUUUUUAAGUCUGAUGUGAAAGCCUUCGGCUCAACCGAAGAAGUGCAUCGGAAACUGGGAAACUUGAGUGCAGAAGAGGACAGUGGAAACUCCAUGUGUAGCGGUGAAAUGCGUAGAUAUAUGGAAAGAA